AUUGAACGCUGGCGGCAGGCCUAACACAUGCAAGUCGAGCGGAGCUGCGGACGGGUGAUUAAUGCCUAGGAAUCUGCCUGGUAGUGGGGGAUAACGUCCGGAAACGGGCGCUAAUACCGCAUAAUUUCAGAUAGUCCUAGGUGGGAUUAGCUAGUUGGUGGGGUACAGGCCUACCAAGGCGACGAGCCGUAACUGGUCUGAGCGGAUGAUCAGUCAAACUGGAACUGAUACACGGCCCAGACUCCUACGGGAGGACGCAGUAGGGAAUAUUGUACAAUGGGCGAAAGCCUGAUCCAGCCAUGCCGCGUGUGUGAAGAAGGUCUUCGGAUUGUAAAGCACUUUAAGUUGGGAGGCGUUAUCAACAGAAUAAGCACCGGCUAACUUCGUGCCAGCCGCCGCGGUAAUUC
Molecule: ribosomal RNA, 407 nt
Filed under: uncultured bacterium
Lineage: Bacteria
Description: partial 16S ribosomal RNA
Rfam family: Bacterial small subunit ribosomal RNA
Source: RNAcentral